GCCUCAAUCUGUUGUGAUCCCUGCGAUAGGGAAGACGAGCAGGCUGCGCUCGUUGUAUCAAUUUUCUCCUGAGAUCAAGAAGAAGACCCCUGAAAAGGCGGUUACAUUCGUUGAGGCGGGG
Long non-coding RNA from Helianthus annuus (common sunflower), 121 nucleotides. RefSeq lists it as uncharacterized. The transcript is spliced from 2 exons. NCBI's taxonomy places the organism in Eukaryota, Viridiplantae, Streptophyta, Magnoliopsida, Asterales, Asteraceae. The record is from RefSeq and is a predicted model, not a curated record.